This 72-nucleotide transfer RNA is filed under the name Camelus bactrianus (Bactrian camel). It matches the Rfam family "tRNA". From Rfam's summary of the family: Transfer RNA (tRNA) molecules are approximately 80 nucleotides in length. Their secondary structure includes four short double-helical elements and three loops (D, anti-codon, and T loops). Further hydrogen bonds mediate the characteristic L-shaped molecular structure. tRNAs have two regions of fundamental functional importance: the anti-codon, which is responsible for specific mRNA codon recognition, and the 3' end, to which the tRNAs corresponding amino acid is attached (by aminoacyl-tRNA synthetases). tRNAs cope with the degeneracy of the genetic code in two manners: having more than one tRNA (with a specific anti-codon) for a particular amino acid; and 'wobble' base-pairing, i.e. permitting non-standard base-pairing at the 3rd anti-codon position. RNAcentral also lists the same sequence under 3 other names. Lineage: Eukaryota; Metazoa; Chordata; Mammalia; Artiodactyla; Camelidae. The record is from Rfam by way of RNAcentral.
GAGGGUAUAGCUCAGUGGUAGAGUGCAUGCCUAGCAUGCAAGAGGUCCUGGGUUCAAUCCCCAGUACCUCUA